ACUCCUACGGGAGGCAGCAGUGGGGAAUCUUGCGCAAUGGGCGAAAGCCUGACGCAGCAACGCCGCGUGGAGGAAGAAGGCCUUCGGGUUGUAAACUCCUGUCGGGGGAGAAGAAGGCACCUGGGUUAAUAGCCCAAGGGUUGACGGUAUCCCCAAAGGAAGCCACGGCUAACUACGUGCCAGCAGCCGCGGUAAUACGUAGGUGGCAAGCGUUGUCCGGAAUCAUUGGGCGUAAAGCGCGCGUAGGCGGUUUGUCAGGUCUGAUGUGAAAUCUUGGGGCUCAACUCCAAGCGUGCAUCGGAAACCGGCUUACUAGAGUCUGGAAGAGGAGAGUGGAAUUCCUGGUGUAGCGGUGAAAUGCGUAGAUAUCAGGAGGAACACCAGUUGCGAAGGCGGCUCUCUGGGACAGUACUGACGCUGAGGCGCGAAAGCUAGGGGAGCGAACAGGAUUAGAUACCCUGGUAGUCCUAGCCGUAAACGAUGGACACUAGGUGUCGGGGGUGUCGACUCCCUCGGUGCCGAAGCUAACGCAUUAAGUGUCCCGCCUGGGGAGUACGGCCGCAAGGCUAAAACUCAAAGGAAUUGACGG
Molecule: ribosomal RNA, 589 nt
Filed under: bacterium enrichment culture clone MA3
Lineage: Bacteria
Description: bacterial SSU rRNA
Rfam family: Bacterial small subunit ribosomal RNA
Source: RNAcentral